CUUAAUGGGGUUUUCAACAUUUGGCCACUCUUAUCCUUAUCAAUAGAUACCCCAGAUGCAGGAUCUACAUGGAGGGCCUCAAGAAUACGACCAGUUGAUGGCCUGCAGAAAAGUGAGAUUUUAAACAAGAAAUGUUUCAUGUUAUCAUGCAAACUGAACAGCAUCAAGUAAGACUUGCUCCCUCUUCCCCUUGACAGUUAUUCGAACAGGUGUAAAUGGUGAUAUAUUCUAAACCACAUUAAGUUCC
Long non-coding RNA from Solanum stenotomum, 247 nucleotides. RefSeq lists it as uncharacterized. The record is from RefSeq and is a predicted model, not a curated record. The transcript is spliced from 2 exons. Lineage: Eukaryota; Viridiplantae; Streptophyta; Magnoliopsida; Solanales; Solanaceae.